UACGUAGGAUGCAAGCGUUGUCCGGAAUUACUGGGCGUAAAGAGCGCGCAGGCGGCGCUUUAAGUUAGGCGUGAAAUCUCCCGGCUUAACUGGGAUAGGUCGUCUAAGACUGGAGUGCUUGAGGGCAGAAGAGGAAAGUGGAAUUCCCGGUGUAGUGGUGAAAUGCGUAGAUAUCGGGAGGAACACCAGUGGCGAAGGCGGCUUUCUGGUCUGCCCCUGACGCUGAGGCGCGAAGGCUGGGGGAG
This 245-nucleotide ribosomal RNA is filed under the name uncultured bacterium. Its description in RNAcentral is "partial 16S ribosomal RNA". It matches the Rfam family "Bacterial small subunit ribosomal RNA", at positions 524 to 768 of the family's 1533-position model. The record is from RNAcentral.